GGAGAGGUGGCUCAGAGGUUAAGAGCACUGACUGUUCUUCCAGAGGACCUAGGUUCAAUUCCCAGCAUCCACA
This 73-nucleotide transfer RNA is filed under the name Neotoma lepida (desert woodrat). It matches the Rfam family "tRNA". From Rfam's summary of the family: Transfer RNA (tRNA) molecules are approximately 80 nucleotides in length. Their secondary structure includes four short double-helical elements and three loops (D, anti-codon, and T loops). Lineage: Eukaryota; Metazoa; Chordata; Mammalia; Rodentia; Cricetidae. The record is from Rfam by way of RNAcentral.